GCACUGCCAUGCACCAGGGAGCUGUGUGCCUGGGGGUCCUGUAAACUCUCCAGAAUAUCACAUUUCCCAUAGCAUAACAGCUGGAUCCUUCGGAGGGGGGAAGGGAUGUCUCUCAUCACUGAUGUUUUAAUUAAGAGCACAGGAAGGAAAAGUGAGGCAUUAACCAUCUGCCUUGCAAUAGGGCCAGAGCAUGGCAGGUGCCGGGGUGCAUUAGCAAGAGGAAUCAGACUCCUCCUUUGAGUCAAGUUAAGCUUUACUCAACACUUAACACCCAGUUAAUUGCUGGGUGCUUACUGCAAUUAGGGAGGCUGUCUCAGCUAGCAGUAAUGGAGGGUGAUGGCAACCCCCAGCACUGAGGAUAAGAGAGGCUGCAUCCAUCCCUGCAGACACCACAUCCCUCCCUGGGGAUGCCAUGUCCCUCCCUGGGAUGUGGGGGAAACAGUGGUGUCCAGAACACAGCAUGAAAGCUGCUGAGCUUCGUCCCCUACCUGGGCUCUACUGGAGAGCUCUGUGCUCCAAGCCUGGCCUGACUCCCUUAUGCUGACCCAGCAGGAGGUUUUCCAAGCAGCACUCCGUACCAAGAAGCACUUCACGUGGCUAAUGUAUGAGCCAUUGCACCCCAGCAGUGAAUCCAAUUUGUAUACCGUAAAAACAAACUGUGCUCCCUCUGACUUUGCAUUCAGACUGUUUCCAAGAAGGUAAAAUCAGCCAAAGCAUAGAAUCUGAGAGCCUGGUUUGUACCACCCCUGUGCACAGCAAAGCAGUGACACCCCAGUGCGAUGGCUUGUGGGCUUACAGCACAGGAGUAAUGAAUGCACAGCCAGUUUGCACGCUUUAUUAGAGUCCUAUUUUCACUCCUUCUUCCAGAGGAGUCCAGAAUGAUUGGCGACAGACUUCUCCUCUGCCUCUUCACACUGCUGUGCUUGCCCUUCAGCCCCCCGCAGCCCCCUGCCCGGCAGCCAGCAGCACCCUGUGCUGAGCACAGAGGCCUGGAUGAACUGGCAGGGGCAGGGCACACUGCUGCCAUCCAUGUGCCCUGUGGCCACAGGACGGGGCAGGCGGCCGCUGACCAGCAGCCGCACAUAGCAGGCACUGAAGAUCACCAGGAGCUGCUGGGCCAUCACCUGGAACGAGCACGAGAGGGAACAGCCACCUCCAUCAUCACACAGAGCUGGUCCAGCCUGUGCCGCCAGCCCAGCUGCAGGAGAAGGAUGGUUUGGGGGACCCAAGGAGACAAAGAGCAUGAUUUCCUACCAAAGCUAUCCUCCCAGGAGUCAAGAAAAGUACAAGAUGUGGGGGUUGUACCCCUCACCUCCUGUCCUGCAGCCACGACUGGCCAGCAGAGUUUACACAUCUAUACACCCACAAAGAGUAAGAGACUUUCCGAAGGCUGAGAGGACAAAAUUCCCAUCCAGGUACCCAGUGCGGUGCUUAUUUAUUCCCCGGGCUAUCUCAUUAUUUCAAGAGGACAACUCAAGGUGUCAGCUAUUUCAGACAGUAACACCUGCCUUCAGCAUUUACCCUUGGCGACUUUCCCUUACCCAAAGUCGCACAGUGGAUUACCCAGCUACGCUCACACCAAAG
This 1584-nucleotide long non-coding RNA is filed under the name Gallus gallus (chicken). RNAcentral describes it as "long non-coding RNA NONGGAT003057". Lineage: Eukaryota; Metazoa; Chordata; Aves; Galliformes; Phasianidae. The record is from RNAcentral.